GGCCGGUAAGCUCAGGUGGAUAGAGUGUCAAGCUAAUAACUGGAAUGUCGUGGGCUCGAUUCCCGUACUGGCCA
RNAcentral lists this transfer RNA (74 nucleotides) under Biomphalaria glabrata. It matches the Rfam family "tRNA". From Rfam's summary of the family: Transfer RNA (tRNA) molecules are approximately 80 nucleotides in length. Their secondary structure includes four short double-helical elements and three loops (D, anti-codon, and T loops). Further hydrogen bonds mediate the characteristic L-shaped molecular structure. tRNAs have two regions of fundamental functional importance: the anti-codon, which is responsible for specific mRNA codon recognition, and the 3' end, to which the tRNAs corresponding amino acid is attached (by aminoacyl-tRNA synthetases). tRNAs cope with the degeneracy of the genetic code in two manners: having more than one tRNA (with a specific anti-codon) for a particular amino acid; and 'wobble' base-pairing, i.e. permitting non-standard base-pairing at the 3rd anti-codon position. The record is from Rfam by way of RNAcentral. Lineage: Eukaryota; Metazoa; Mollusca; Gastropoda; Planorbidae.